RNAcentral lists this ribosomal RNA (844 nucleotides) under uncultured bacterium. RNAcentral describes it as "bacterial SSU rRNA". It matches the Rfam family "Bacterial small subunit ribosomal RNA", at positions 60 to 914 of the family's 1533-position model. The record is from RNAcentral.
AGUCGAACGGUGGUAGCAAUACCAUGGUGGCGCACGGGUGCGUAACACGUAACUAACCUACCUAGAACUGGGGGAUAGCCCGCCGAAAGGCGGAUUAAUACCGCAUAAGCUCUUUAGCCGGCAUCGGCUGAUUAGUAAAGAUUUAUUGGUUUUAGAUGGGGUUGCGGGUCAUUAGCUAGUUGGUUGGGUAACGGCUGACCAAGGCGACGAUGACUAGGGGAGCUGAGAGGCUGGUCCCCCACACGGGCACUGAGAUACGGGCCCGACUCCUACGGGAGGCAGCAGUAGGGAAUAUUGGGCAAUGGACGAGAGUCUGACCCAGCCAUGCCGCGUGCAGGAAGAAGGCUUUCUGAGUCGUAAACUGCUUUUGACAGGGAAGAAUAAGCUGGUCGUGACCAGUGAUGACGGUACCUGCAGAAUAAGCACCGGCUAACUCCGUGCCAGCAGCCGCGGUAAUACGGAGGGUGCGAGCGUUGUCCGGAUUUAUUGGGUUUAAAGGGUGCGUAGGCGGCCCGUUAAGUCCGGGGUGAAAGCCCGUUGCUCAACAACGGAACUGCCCUGGAUACUGACGGGCUUGAGUACAGACGAGGUUGGCGGAAUGGACCGAGUAGCGGUGAAAUGCAUAGAUACGGUCCAGAACCCCGAUUGCGAAGGCAGCUGACUAAGCUGUUACUGACGCUGAGGCACGACAGCGUGGGGAGCGAACAGGAUUAGAUACCCUGGUAGUCCACGCCGUAAACGAUGGAUACUCGCUGCGAGCUAAAGAUUGUUCGUGGCUUAGGGAAACCGAUAAGUAUCCCACCUGGGGAGUACGCCGGCCACGGUGAAACUCAAAGGAAUUGAC